GAUGAACGCGGGCGGCGUGCCUAACACAUGCAAGUCGAGCGGCAGCGCGAGUAGUUUACUACUGGGCGGCGAGCGGCGAACGGUGAGUAACGCGUGGGAAUUUGCCCCAAAGUGAGGAAUAACUGCCCGAAAGGGUGGCUAAUGCCGCAUAUGAUCUUCGGAUUAAAGGAUUUAUCCGCUUUGGGAGAAGCCCGCGUCGGAUUAGGUAGUUGGUGAGGUAAUAGCUCACCAAGCCGACGAUCCGUAGCUGGUCUGAGAGGAUGACCAGCCAGACUGGAACUGAGACACGGUCCAGACUCCUACGGGAGGCAGCAGUGAGGAAUCUUCCACAAUGGGCGAAAGCCUGAUGGAGCAACGCCGCGUGCAGGAUGAAGGCCUUCGGGUUGUAAACUGCUUUUAUAAGUGAGGAAUAUGACG
RNAcentral lists this ribosomal RNA (417 nucleotides) under TM7 phylum sp. oral taxon 346. RNAcentral describes it as "bacterial SSU rRNA". It matches the Rfam family "Bacterial small subunit ribosomal RNA", at positions 28 to 456 of the family's 1533-position model. Lineage: Bacteria; Candidatus Saccharimonadota. The record is from RNAcentral.